Molecule: RNA transcript, 3335 nt
Organism: Seriola aureovittata
Lineage: Eukaryota; Metazoa; Chordata; Actinopteri; Carangiformes; Carangidae
Gene: atcayb
Gene name: ATCAY kinesin light chain interacting caytaxin b
Exons: 12
Source: RefSeq, a predicted model, not a curated record
CACAGCUGGAUGUCUUUUCACAGUGUUGCCAAGGUCACAGCUAUUGAAGUACAGGGCUGUCAAGUUUACCACCAACAUGUUUUGUAGCCAACCAUCCUGUCAGUGCUACUGGGUGUAGUGGAAGAAGGAUGAGAAUAGAGAUGAAACCGGGAAGACAACCACCACACCACUCGGGCCAACACUCAUUCAAGCUGUGAAAGGAAGGCAGUGCUGGUUGUGAGGACUAAAUAUGAAAAAGAUGCGACCCAGCUCUAAUGCCCUGUCUGAGUUGGACUCAGUAGAGGGUACAGAACCCCAGGAAACCCAGAUAUCCCACAACUGUAAUAAAGCCUUGGGUCAUGUAUCUUCAUCCCAGAAUGGAUCUAAUAUUAUGGCUUUCCUCAAGAGAAAUUCUUUUGUUGUUCUCACAAUGACCGCUGUUGCAUUUGGAAUUGGCCUGGGCUUUGCUCUGCGACCCAUUAAUAUGUCAGCCACUGACAUAAAAUAUUUAACCUUUCCUGGAGAGCUGCUGAUGAGAAUCCUGCAGAUGGUGGUGCUUCCUCUUAUCAUUUCCAGUCUGAUUACAGUUAUGUCAUCUGUGGACAGGAAAGCUUAUGGAAGAAUUGGGGGGAGGGCCUUCAGCUGUUACAUGGUCACCACACUUGUUGCUGCAUUCACUGGCAUCGCCUUGGCUGUUAUCAUCCAGCCAGGGAACUCAUCCAGUAGCACUGCAGUGUCCUCUGGUGGUAAAGAGAAGGCUGUGCAGAGCGUGGAUGCCUUUCUGGAUCUAAUCAGAAACAUGAUCCCCUCAAAUCUGGUUGAAGCUUGUUUCAGAAAGUUUAAAACAGUUUAUUCCAGGAAUCAUGAUGGUGUCAUCAGUUAUACUGAGGCCAGUGAAGACGGGACCCCUAUAGAUGACACAGUACCAGUGCCAGGCACCUCAGAUGGGGUAAAUACUUUAGGUCUGCUGGUCUUCUCUGUUGCCUUUGGCCUCAUUCUGGGCAGUAUGGAGAACCAGGGAAAGCCUCUUAGGGAUUUCUUUGACUGCCUGAAUAAAGCCAUUAUGCGUCUGGUCAACAUAGUCAUCUGGUAUUCCCUGGUGGGAAUCGUCUUCCUGCUGGCAGGACAGAUUGUGAAGAUGACAGACACUGGAGAAUUAGGUCGUGAAGUUGCCAUGUAUACUCUGACUGUGAUCACUGGCCUUCUAAUCCACAGCUUCUUCACCCUGCCCCUCCUCUAUUUUGUUGUCACACGAAAGAAUCCCUUCAGAUUUAUGAGUGGUCUUCUCCAGCCUCUCGUCACUGCCUUUGGGACUUCAUCAAGUUCUGCAACCUUACCUGUAACCCUCCACUGUAUGGAGGAAAAUCACAGCAUGGACAAACAAGUGACAUGCCUCAUGCUGCCUACAGGUGCCUCAGUGAACAUGGACGGCGCAGCACUCUAUGAAGCAGUCACAGCUUUAUUCAUAGCCCAGGUUCAUAAUAUGGACUUUAACCUGGGUCAAAUUAUUGUACUCAGGGAUCGUUUGAGGACUGCCACUAAUGUCCUGGGUGAUUGUGUCGGUGUGGGUGUUGUCCAGCAUCUGUUCAGAUGUGAGCUACAGAGCUCCAGGCCUGCAGAAGAAAGCAUCUGGCUCUGAGCUUCAUCAGGUUUGACAGCAUUCCAUUUGUAAUAGCUAAGAUUAAUGUGAUAUGUUGUUGUUGAAUGAUAACAAAAGAAGUAGUUGAUACUCAUUUAGCUUAGAAUAUGGACAGAAAUCCCCGGGAAUAUGUUUCAGCUUGAUGAGCUGGAGGGACUGACAACAAACUUUCUGCGAUAGUUCAUUUAGGACGGAAGCAUGAAAUAGUGUUGAUCUAUGUAUAGGAUGUAGUACUCAAAUUAGUAUUAGUAUUAAUUCUCAAACCAUAUUUUAAGUGCAAUUUUAAUUUGUCUGCAGGACUUUAUGGAAACAGCUCAUAAGUAAGGCCACUUAAUAUACUCAGCUUAAAAAUCCAACACUGGAUUUACAUGAGGUUAUGAAGAGGUCAAACCAAUCUGUGUAUUUUAGCAAACUGUUUCCUUCCUCAUAAUGUUGCAGAUGUGCACUCUAACACCAUCUGGUGGCAGGAGUGUCAGUGACCCAGUUACAUAUGAGUUAAUCAUAUACAUACAUAUAGAACUGUUAAAUACUUAAUGGUACUGCAUUUUAUGGAAGUAAACACAGCUUAGCGUGGGCCUGGAACUGAAACAUUAUUGUGGAAUGUAUUUCCUCCGCAAAGAGCUAGAGGAGAUUAUGGUUUAUUAAAGAAAAUGAAACAACAUUAAAAGAUCAUUUCACCUUAUUGACUCUUAAAGGGAAUCAGAGAUCUUCAGAUAGCCAAGUAGUUAAACCAAGAGAAGCGAUAAUUAAAAGCUAGGCAAGCCAUGCUUGGAAAUAAGAUAAAUAAAGACAAAUCAUUAACUUAUUUAUUACAAUUGAUCAUUAAAACAAUGUUGGUGUGUUCUUAAAAACCUAAAGCUAUCUAUUUGAAAUUCAGCAUCUGUCGACUGCACUGAUCCAUGGGAAAACAAAUGUGUUUAGUCACAAGUCUGGACAUAUUGCAGCAUUUCAGUGCUGUGCAAAGUAGCGUUAUUAAUAGAAAACUAGAAACACACCCGAAAUGCAUUUUUCUGCCAAGCAGCCAGAGGCGGGAGAAGAAUAAGAAAACUGGCUGCUCCCACUGGGCGUUGAGUGCAAUGCUACUCUGUGUUUACUGACAUCGCCCAGAGUUCAGUGCAGCUGUGAGGAGAGAGGAAGAGAAAAAAGAGGGAGGGAGGGAGGAGGGGGCGUGAGCAUUACAGCUAGCAAGCAAGAGAAAAGGAGGGGAAUCCAUGUGAGGGAGGGGUUUCAUCAAGGGUGAGAGAGCUUAAAAGAGAUGGUGAGAAAAAGCAAGAGAGAGAGGGGAGGACUGUGUGUGUGUACGUGUGUGAGAGAGAGAGGGGGGAAGAUGCUGUUGCCAGGGAACAGCGGUGAAGUAGAAACGUCCAUCUUUUCCAGCUCGUCGGAGGAUAACAACACAUUAAAUCAUGGAUGCAGAAUGGACUGAACGUGAGGAGAAAGAAAACAGCUGUUUGUGACCCCGAGCAGCCUUCAGGGAAUCAAAGAGAAGGGGGACACGGUUUCUCUCUCAGCCUCCAUUAGCAGCAUCAGGAAACAGCCAGAGUUGUCCAGAAGCCCAGGUCCUGAGCACACAACCGUCCCACCUGCAGAUGUAAACAGUGAUGAUCCUCGCUCUGAUCAGGCAGCUCUGAAAAGGAGGAACAGGAACAGAAAAGGGAGCGUCUGAAAGCAAAACAGGGACGAUUUCCAAACGGCGAAGAGGAAAUCUUCCUAAUUA